UGCUGCUGCUGAUGUCCUGGUCCUGAUGUAAGUCUGUGGCUCUGGAGGAUACAGAUGCGUCAGUCACUCACACAAACAAACAGCCACACUGUCAUACGUAAGACGCUUCUGUAUCACGGUGACUAAGCAUUUUAUCUAAGCCGUGUGACUUCACCGGUCACGAUAAUUCGGUGAUUUAAUCUGACCCUAAAUGCGCUCGGUAUUGCUGAGUGAUUGCAGUAUGCUGACUCACCUUCAUCAGUUCAGGCAGCGAACGCCAGGUGGCGCUGCUAGCCGCGGAGGAAGCUUCCACUCCUCGUCACUUCCAGGAACAACGACCGGGAGGCAUCUAAAGUGAAGUGGGGGGUGUGGGGCACGAAUCCAAUUUGUGCCAGCAUCUGUGAUUGGUCAUGGCCGUGAUCUCUGACGUGCCGCGUGACGCUGCUCUCAUCUCCUGAUCGCCGCAUCACUCCGGCGUCUGUCUCAAAAUUGGCUUUGUGCUCUGUGUCUCAAAAUUGUGCUGCUGCACAAAAACUUUCUCAUGACUGAUGAGGAGACAAACCAACUGUGAUUUCAGUCUCAGAAAUCACUGCACACUUUAAUGGAGAAAGAAAGAUGGAUUUGGAACAACACCAGGUGGCCUGUACAGAUGUAAGGGAAAACACAGGGUUAUGAAGAAACCGUAGGAGGAACAAUGGCUCGAAAAAGGACACCCGUCCUCCUCUGCUCGACUUGGGAAGGUGCUAAGAGAAAUGACAUCCAAGAGGGUUGCAGACAAACAUUUGUCCAGAUGAGCUGCGGUAACAGGAUUGUGUUUGGACAGGAGCUUCUCUCUGUAGGGAACAAGAUUCUCUGAAGUGAAACGCUGGAGGAUUCUAAGAAUGAACCACUUGCAGAACUUUCUUUGCGGUUCUGAUGAUUCAUCCACCCAACCGUGAGAUGACUAGACUGCAGCUCUGACCAAAUUCAACUGCUGUAAGAACAAGCUGAAGAAGUUGAGAAAUACAUGCUGGCGGUUAUUCUGAAAAUGUCUGUUUCCCACCGGAAUGAAACGUAUACAGGCAAAACAUUGAAAAGCCCCCUCCGUUGGAGAGAGAGAAAGAGAGGGAUGGAAUAAGAAUGAGAGCGAGUGAAACAGAGUGAGUCAUGAGUGCAGCUUUGAACAACAAGGGGAAAUCCUCCUAUUGAGAGGCAUGCGCAUUGGAAACACACAUCAUGCAUAGAGGUAAUGGAACCGGAGGCCAUACACAAACCAAAACUUUUAGCCAUUUAUCUGGAGACCGUUUGACAUUGUGUCAUGCAAAACUGUAGCACUUUUAAUAACAGUAAACUGUGAGGCAUUAGCAAUGCAAACUACAUUUCCUGUUGUUUUUAAAAAUGAUAUGGCAUUUACAAUGUAUGCACAGUACAUAGUGCUCUUGAUUGGUCCGACUAAUAUGCAUGUUCUUGUCAAAUGCGGCUUGAAUUCUUCUUGGAGAGAUAAAAAGUUGUGGUUUUUCACAUUAAAAUAUUUAAAGCUUAUCAAGUAGUCAGUGCAGCCUACACAAUGGAGCUAUUUAGGGAAAUUUCACAUGAAUGUCAUAUGUAGGUAUUCACCCCUGUACUUUCUGUUGCAACACUUGCGCUAGCACUCUACUCACAGGAAACUCAGGGGGAAGCUCCCCAUCUGGGUUUAACAUUAAAAAGGAACGUUUCCUGUUGCUUACCAGUGUUUCUCUCACAUUGUUCUCAUUUGCAUGAUUUCCACCCUGAUAUUAAAAAUCAGGGUUUGUAGGGCCCCAAGAGCCAUAGUUACAUCAUAUAAUUUGCUUUUGUUCUGUUUCAACAGAAAUCACUAUGAAGAUGUCAACAGGAAGUGCAUGUACCUGAAUGAACCUCAUAUAUAUAUAUAUAUAUAUAUAUAUAUAUAUAUAUAUACACACACACACACAUAAGGUUCAUCUCCUUUUCUGCCGUUCAAGUACAUGCACUUCCUGUACUUAAAUGUAUAUAAAUAUAUCUUCUUUGACUUAUUUUCCAACUGUUGUUAUGCAGAGGUGAUGAAAUGUUAAUGAUGAAUACAUUUGAUGAUAAUGAUUCUAAAUUCUCUUUACACUAAGUGUAAAUAAAAGCACAGAUUCCUGUAGUAUAUACUGAUUUGAUGCAUGAACAUAAAAAAAAAAGAAAGAAAGUUCAAUAUUUCUGAGAAGCCAUGAAAAUUACUGUUAAAAUGUGACUCAUCGUGGUCAUUUUCAGCAUAGCAUAAUAAUUUGGCACAGCAGUAAUUUAAGGAAACCUCUAGGAUGCUUGAAUCAUGUACAAAAAUAGUGAAAUGACGUUCAUUAACAGCUGGCUUAGGGUCAAAAUCAGAUCUGAAUAGUCUUAAAAUGUGGGCUGAAAACAGGACAAAGCUGAUCGUGUUUGUUCAGGAAAAUGAGCUAUUAUGACUAAAAGAGCCAUUUUCUUUCCUGUUAAAUGCAGCGCCCCCAAAAAAGUGUUUAGACAUUUAAGUCUGAAUGUUAUUGCAUUUGAUAAUAAAUUAAGAAACCAAGUAUUAUUUUCGAAAGACAGACAAGCAAAAUAUGUGUUUUUAGUGUACAAAAGCAUCCAAAUUUAUGUUUAUUAUCAUAAUUGUAACCUGCUGUAUUUUAUCUUCAUCUUACAGCGGCUAUAUUUUUCAUCUUCAUUUUAAACGUUUAAUGUUUCUUCACAAUUAAGCUGAAAUGUUUGUGCUUUACAUUUUGUCCAUUUAAUGUGUUGACAACCUUUUGCCAAUCCAUAAAGUUGCAUCUUAUAUGCAAGCUGAUGUUUCAGCAGAAAUAAAAUGUUGCUGCAUUUAAAUAGACCGAAGUGUCAAGUGUGAACUGUCUGGUUUAAUCUGCGGAUGUCUUGACACAAAGAUGGGUUAAAGGGUAUUUUAUGAGAAAGGCACACACUGUUUUAUACUCCUUUCGACUGAUUUGUUGAAAUCAGAUGAUUGUGAGUAAUCCACCCUUUUACCAGAAGGGUUUAAAGAGUUUGUGUUCCCAUGCAUGUUUGAGUGUGUUCUGAUGUACCAUCAGUUCAAUCAUCUAACCAAGUCUGACUGUGCAUGACAAGAACAUCCAACUAAAAAUAUCAACCGCCACCAGUAAAGCUGGUCUGAAGAUGAAUGAUCUGUGAACUUCUGAGACUUUCAAUAAGCUCAUGAUCAUGAUGUGGUGUCUCAUGAUUCUUGUGCUUCUGCAGAACUGCACAAGAGAUUCAGAUCACUUACUGUAUCAGUUGGAUCAUGCAAAAGGUAGAGAUGAGCUGUUAGACACCAACACUCAUAAAAGGGGAAGCCCCCUAGCAAAAACAAGACUCAUCAUCUGACAUACAUGACAGAAAUGGAAGUUUUCGGCUCAAAAACACCCACCCAUGAGAGGCCCAGGUCAAAAUUAGCACUCAUUUCUGAUAGACUGGAAGUGAACCUUUUUACAGGGGUGUAAAUGUGUUUUCUGUCUUAAUCUGUCUACUUCACUCAUGCAAGACAAGUGUCAGUAUUAUUAUAUUAGUCAUGCUUAAGUUUGCUGGUUUGAGCAAAUCCUAAUUAAUCAAAUUUGGCAAUAAAACAGCCCAAAAAAUACAACAGACUUGCGCCAAAGGGAGGGAAAUGUAGUGCCAUACAGUGUAACCAUGCACUAAAAGUAUCUAAGAACUCCUUAGCAACUGCAUGGCAACGGCCUGGCAUCAUGACUGAGUUUUGCUCUGGCGAACGUUAAAGAAAUUGCUCUUUACUAUUAUGUGUUACUAUUGCAGCACAUUAAUUAUGUGAGUUUUGCGUAAAACUGUCUAUGUGUAUUGCAACGGCGUGACUGAUGUAAAUGGUUUAUGUACUUCGGAACCAUAACUUUAUGAUCGCAAAGUAAAUCCGCUAUGAUAGAAUGUUUAGGAGAUGUUACUUUUUCAUCCAAGCUGCCUUUUUUGGUCACCAAGAUUUCUCAGAGCUUUUCUCAAGGCUUCCAUCUUUAGGCUUGUUGGUUAAUCACAGACCACACAUGCUGGAGAACGCUGAAAUUACACCAAAAACAAGGGUAGAGUGUCUUGUGUAAGCAGUUUUUCCUUGAGGUAAUUAAAAAUUUCACAUAAGGACUCAAUUAUAUAGCCAAGGAGUUUUCCUAAUGAGAGGUAUGGGAAUGCAUAGUUACAGCUAAAUAGAAAAUGCAAAGCAUGCAUUUAUUGGUGCAUUUAUUGUGUUUUCUGUUUUUGAGCUCCUGACAGUGACAGCUCCUGCUCACCAUCCAGUUUCACAGUAUGGAGAACCUCUGAGAUUCUGCUAAACGUCUGUUUUUGUGUCCUGCAGAAGAAAUAGUCAUACAGCUUGAGGGACGUUCCUGAGAUGACAGACAUGCACACCUACAGGAGUUCAGGGGUGAAGCCCCCCCAUGGCGACGGAAACGGCCCGAGGAAAGGCCUCAUGCUGAAGGGAGAGGGGCCCGGCAGCUCCCUCAAACAAUGGAAGUUCUUGGAAGAUUUUAGGAAG
Molecule: long non-coding RNA, 4462 nt
Organism: Cyprinus carpio (common carp)
Lineage: Eukaryota; Metazoa; Chordata; Actinopteri; Cypriniformes; Cyprinidae
Exons: 9
Source: RefSeq, a predicted model, not a curated record